This 299-nucleotide unclassified non-coding RNA is filed under the name Glomus sp. Its description in RNAcentral is "partial contains 5.8S ribosomal RNA, internal transcribed spacer 2, and large subunit ribosomal RNA". The stretch from base 1 to 71 matches the Rfam family "5.8S ribosomal RNA", at positions 84 to 154 of the family's 154-position model. Lineage: Eukaryota; Fungi; Glomeromycota; Glomeromycetes; Glomerales; Glomeraceae. The record is from RNAcentral.
GUGAAUCAUCGAAUCUUUGAACGCAAAUUGCACUUUCUGGUAUUCCUUAAAGUAUGCCUGUUUGAGGGUCAGUUAAAUAAAAAUCGGUGUGGUUGCUGCCUGUCGUGUUUACGCGUCGGCAUUGAGUUGUCUUACCUUCGGUUAAGUGACUUAAAAUUUUGCAUGAUUUUCGAACGUAUUUACAUCGCUUACGUACGUUUGAGAUAUCGAAUGCUUAUUAGGUUCUGUCAUUCCCAUGAUUCGCACCUAUAAUUUUUCAUUAAAUUACCUCAAAUCAGUUAACAAUACCCGCUGAACUU